CAAGAGGGGUAUCAAGGCACCCAUCACAUUGUCACCUGCAGACGGCGGCGGACUGCACUCAAGUGAAGAUUCCUCUGCUUUAGUUGCCGUACACUUAACCUGGGAGUUGUUUUGCUCUGUGUCAACUUCU
Ornithodoros turicata is the source of this 130-nucleotide long non-coding RNA. RefSeq lists it as uncharacterized. The record is from RefSeq and is a predicted model, not a curated record. The transcript is spliced from 3 exons. Lineage: Eukaryota; Metazoa; Arthropoda; Arachnida; Ixodida; Argasidae.